This is a long non-coding RNA of Capsicum annuum, 558 nucleotides long. RefSeq lists it as uncharacterized. The record is from RefSeq and is a predicted model, not a curated record. NCBI's taxonomy places the organism in Eukaryota, Viridiplantae, Streptophyta, Magnoliopsida, Solanales, Solanaceae. The transcript is spliced from 3 exons.
AGCAAGGUUGGGGAAAGGUUGCUGCAAACAUCACGUCCAACCAAGGAAAAAAAAAACAAGCCGAAUAGGUAGAGAAGAAGAGGAGGAGUAAGGGAAAAAAGGAGGGAAAAUAAUGAGACUUCUAUCGGGUUUAAGAUUCUAUCGAAGGGAGUCCUAUUAAUUGUUCGAGGUGACAAGAUGGUAUUUCAAAAAUUGUACAAGAAUGCAGGUGACGGUGAGGAUCUCGUUGGCUAGAGGAUUCGAGUAGCAUAUUCCUGGUGAGCCCCGCAAUUAUUCACGUGGGCUAUAGUUUAUUUAUUUGUUAUGUUUUUUUUCUUGAAAACUCUUAGUUUUCUCCAUAGUCAUGUCUAUAGAGUUUUGAGUCUUUCGUUAGUUUGGAAUAUUAAAUUUUUUCUCAUCUUUGGAGAUGGUUUUCGCAUUGUUAGUUAGUGGUACUGGUGAAUUGUUGAUGAUCUAUGGUGAGAUGUGUUGGUGUUUGUGUGGUGGUUGUGAUGUUAGGUUGUUUUGUGGUUGAAUUGAGACAGGAAAUUUUCUUGGUAGGCCCCAAAACAGGGGAAA